RNAcentral lists this ribosomal RNA (1896 nucleotides) under Triticum aestivum (bread wheat). Its description in RNAcentral is "partial small subunit ribosomal RNA". Lineage: Eukaryota; Viridiplantae; Streptophyta; Magnoliopsida; Poales; Poaceae. The record is from RNAcentral.
AUGGAGCUCCUUCCUCGCAAUUCCUAUGCCUCACAGCCUCCGUCACCGUAUAUAAAUACUCCAUCCUCUCGGCCACACCCCCUACACCGCACUGCAAGUCAGCAACCUACCAGCCUCGCGGCCAGUCUGCCAGUAGCCACUCAGCAACUCCCCUCUCUCGCGUUCUCUUGGUGCAGUCGUGCCGGCGCGAUGGCCGCACCUUUUCUGCACCUUCUUCUGCUCGUCGUCUCUGGGGGUGCUGCAGCGGGCGGCGAGGACGAGGUGGGGCUGCCCCCGCUUGAGCUCCGAGCCAUCGACGACCCGGGCCGUGGGCGCGCGUCCGUCGCUGCGGAGGAGCCGGUGCUCAUCGCCGAUAUCUCCACGCACGACGACGAGCCGGCCGAAGUACCCCGGGUUGAGUUCCGAGGCAUCGACGACUCGGGCCGUGGGCACGCGUCCGACGCGCCGGAGGAGCCGGUGUUCAUGGCCGAUGUCGCCACGGACGACGACGAGGCGCUUUUCGGUGGCAUCGAUGAGUCGGGCCAUGUGCACGCGUCCGACGCGCAGGAGGAGCGGGCGUUCAUGGACGUCAUCUCCACGGGCGGCGGCUGCGGCCGCUUCGCCCGCCUCGUCGCCAAGACGGGGAACGCGAGCCAGCUCUUCUGGGAGCGCGUCGCGGGCGGUGGCGGUCUCACCGUAUUCUGCCCCGAAGACAAGGCCCUCUCCGAGUUCGAGCCCAAGUUCCGAGGCCUCGGCGCCGACGACCGGCUCGCCGUCCUGCUGUACCACGGCGCGGCGACCACCUACGGCAGGAAGCUGUUCCAGGCCUUCGACUGGGUGUCGUUGAGCUCGCUGGCCACCGACGCGGCCACCAACAAGAGCCACGCCAUCACGCUCCGCGACGACGGGGACACGGUGUGGUUGUGGCCGUCGUGCGGGAGCCGCGCUUGGGUCAGGGUGACAAAGACGGUGUCCGAAGAGGCCCCCCUCGCCGUGUACGUCGUCGACGCCGUGCUGCUGCCGAGCCACCUGCGACAGAAGCUGGAUGGCGGCGACGAGCCGGCUGCUGCGUGCAAGCCGUCCGGCGGCUAUCUCGGCUGGCUGCACUCCUGCAUCCCGGCCUGGACAAUGGUACCCAUCGCCGUGCAUGUGACAGGCGCCUCCGCAGUCUUCUGCCUCGUUAUGCAUCUUUGUUCAAGACUGAACGGCAUGGACCCGAAAUAUCUGAACCUUUCUUGCUGUAAUUUUGAAAAGUGCUCCAAGUUAACCAGGGCCAGUCCAGCGGCCAAGCUUGUGGGAUGUGUAGACAAGGGUUUGUCUUUUCUCGUCAAGUCCAUGUCAUUGGAGCAACUGGAUAUACGUUACCAUCCUUUUGGGCUGAAGGGCAGUGCAGUUGUAACUAGAAUUGCUGAAAUGACGGCAACAUCUGGAACUGCUUACAAGCUUUUCGGCAAUAGGGCUAGUGAAGUUCCACAUUUGUCCUACAGUGUCAUGUAUCAAGAUGAGCAAAGACGCAUGGCUUCGAAACACCCAGGACCAGGAGCCAAGAAAGGAAUUACUUGGGCACUGGACGUCAAGAGGCCUCGGCAGCCUAUAAAUUUCGACGAAGGCCCGGAGCAAGGCCUCUCAACGCGCUCGGGCUUCCCACGGCAGCAUGGCGUAGUGCAGUCCAUAUCCAAGGCGGAUCUGGGUCGGCGAUCUCUUGGUUUUGCCACGGAUUGGUUCCGAUCAGAGACGGUGACGAGCGUGCGGGAUCCAUCCCGGCGGCUCUCGCGGUUUGGCGAGGUGGGGUGGGAGUCCUCCUCCCAGAUUUCAGUGGUGGCGCAUCCAGGCAGUGGCCGGUGUGCCAGGGCUCCUAUGGUGACAUUGCUGUUGCGGUUGGUCGCCGGAUCUAGGUGGCUAGAUCUGGGGCUUUGA